RNAcentral lists this long non-coding RNA (313 nucleotides) under Elaeis guineensis (African oil palm). RNAcentral describes it as "long non-coding RNA (EGUI_LNC071096)". The record is from RNAcentral. Lineage: Eukaryota; Viridiplantae; Streptophyta; Magnoliopsida; Arecales; Arecaceae.
ACAGAGAACUACUUUACCACAAAAAAAUAUGGAAAGAGGCAUCCCAUAUUUUUUUAGCAUGUUUUGGGAUGUAGAAUUAUGUAGGGAGGCAAAAUCCUAUAAGAGUCCAGGAUCACUAGGACUCUUCACCCCACCUCCCUACACACCUAUAAAAGGGGUUUUGUGGUUUCUUUUAUGUGUGUAAGAUAGAAAAAGAGAGGUCUUCACAUGAAAAAAGUUUGGGUAUGAUUUAUGAUGUGAAAAAUAGAGAGGAGGGUCUUCUCUCGUGGGGUGUGCGCAAAAAUCUGAAUUUUAAAUUUUUAGUUCUAAGGGC